CAGUAGCCGCGGGAAUACGUAGGUGGCGAGCGUUGUCCGGAAUUAUUGGGCGUAAAGGGAGCGCAGGCGGACAUAUAAGUCCAUCUUAAAAGUGCGGGGCUCAACCCCGUGAGGGGAUGGAAACUGUAUGCCUUGAGUGCAGGAGAGGAAAGCGGAAUUCCCAGUGUAGCGGUGAAAUGCGUAGAUAUUGGGAGGAACACCAGUGGCGAAGGCGGCUUUCUGGACUGUAACUGACGCUGAGGCUCGAAAGCCAGGGGAGCGAACGGGAUUAGAUACCCCCGUAGUCCCUGUCUCUUAUACA
RNAcentral lists this ribosomal RNA (301 nucleotides) under uncultured bacterium. RNAcentral describes it as "partial 16S ribosomal RNA". It matches the Rfam family "Bacterial small subunit ribosomal RNA", at positions 509 to 809 of the family's 1533-position model. The record is from RNAcentral.